RNAcentral lists this ribosomal RNA (432 nucleotides) under uncultured bacterium. Its description in RNAcentral is "partial 16S ribosomal RNA". It matches the Rfam family "Bacterial small subunit ribosomal RNA", at positions 29 to 506 of the family's 1533-position model. The record is from RNAcentral.
AACGAACGCUGGCGGCAUGCCUAACACAUGCAAGUCGAACGAGACCUUCGGGUCUAGUGGCGCACGGGUGCGUAACGCGUGGGAACCUGCCCUUAGGUUCGGAAUAACUCCCCGAAAGGGGUGCUAAUACCGGAUAAUGUCUUCGGACCAAAGAUUUAUCGCCUUUGGAUGGGCCCGCGUUGGAUUAGCUAGUUGGUAGGGUAAAAGCCUACCAAGGCGACGAUCCAUAGCUGGUCUGAGAGGAUGAUCAGCCACACUGGGACUGAGACACGGCCCAGACUCCUACGGGAGGCAGCAGUGGGGAAUAUUGGACAAUGGGCGAAAGCCUGAUCCAGCAAUGCCGCGUGAGUGAUGAAGGCCUUAGGGUUGUAAAGCUCUUUUACCCGGGAUGAUAGUGACAGAACCGGGAGAAUAAGCUCCGGCGAACUCCGU